CCUAAUACAUGCAAGUCGAACGCACAGCGAAAGGUGCUUGCACCUUUCAAGUGAGUGGCGAACGGGUGAGUAACACGUGGACAACCUGCCUCAAGGCUGGGGAUAACAUUUGGAAACAGAUGCUAAUACCGAAUAAAACUUAGUGUCGCAUGACACAAAGUUAAAAGGCGCUUCGGCGUCACCUAGAGAUGGAUCCGCGGUGCAUUAGUUAGUUGGUGGGGUAAAGGCCUACCAAGACAAUGAUGCAUAGCCGAGUUGAGAGACUGAUCGGCCACAUUGGGACUGAGACACGGCCCAAACUCCUACGGGAGGCUGCAGUAGGGAAUCUUCCACAAUGGGCGAAAGCCUGAUGGAGCAACGCCGCGUGUGUGAUGAAGGCUUUCGGGUCGUAAAGCACUGUUGUAUGGGAAGAACAGCUAGAAUAGGAAAUGAUUUUAGUUUGACGGUACCAUACCAGAAAGGGACGGCUAAAUACGUGCCAGCAGCCGCGGUAAUACGUAUGUCCCGAGCGUUAUCCGGAUUUAUUGGGCGUAAAGCGAGCGCAGACGGUUUAUUAAGUCUGAUGUGAAAGCCCGGAGCUCAACUCCGGAAUGGCAUUGGAAACUGGUUAACUUGAGUGCAGUAGAGGUAAGUGGAACUCCAUGUGUAGCGGUGGAAUGCGUAGAUAUAUGGAAGAACACCAGUGGCGAAGGCGGCUUACUGGACUGCAACUGACGUUGAGGCUCGAAAGUGUGGGUAGCAAACAGGAUUAGAUACCCUGGUAGUCCACACCGUAAACGAUGAACACUAGGUGUUUAGGAGGUUUCCGCCUCUUAGUGCCGAAGCUAACGCAUUAAGUGUUCCGCCUGGGGAGUACGACCGCAAGGUUGAAACUCAAAGGAAUUGACGGGGACCCGCACAAGCGGUGGAGCAUGUGGUUUAAUUCGAAGCAACGCGAAGAACCUUACCAGGUCUUGACAUCCUUUGAAGCUUUUAAAGAUAGAAGUGUUCUCUUCGGAGACAAAGUGACAGGUGGUGCAUGGUCGUCGUCAGCUCGUGUCGUGAAAUGUUUGGGUUAAGUCCCGCAACGAGCGCAACCC
Molecule: ribosomal RNA, 1079 nt
Filed under: Leuconostoc mesenteroides
Lineage: Bacteria; Bacillati; Bacillota; Bacilli; Lactobacillales; Lactobacillaceae
Description: bacterial SSU rRNA
Rfam family: Bacterial small subunit ribosomal RNA
Source: RNAcentral